UGGGGGAUAGUUUAGUUGGUAGAACAGCGGACUCUGGCUCCGCCAGCCCAGGUUCGAAUCCUGGUCCCCCAG
Molecule: transfer RNA, 72 nt
Filed under: Anaerolineaceae bacterium
Lineage: Bacteria; Bacillati; Chloroflexota; Anaerolineae; Anaerolineales; Anaerolineaceae
Also listed under: 1 other name
Description: tRNA-Gln
Rfam family: tRNA
About the family: Transfer RNA (tRNA) molecules are approximately 80 nucleotides in length. Their secondary structure includes four short double-helical elements and three loops (D, anti-codon, and T loops).
Source: RNAcentral